GUUAAAGGAACUUCUACUAAAAACGCACACGUCCUAUGUGCAACGUAGAAGUCACCACAUCCUGUGGA
Molecule: small RNA, 68 nt
Filed under: Alteribacillus bidgolensis
Lineage: Bacteria; Bacillati; Bacillota; Bacilli; Caryophanales; Bacillaceae
Description: Bacillus sp. P4B(2010) Bacillaceae-1 RNA
Rfam family: Bacillaceae-1 RNA
Source: Rfam by way of RNAcentral